UUCGGACUAGAGUCUGCAACCCGACUCCACGAAGUUGGAUUCGCUAGUAAUCGCGCAUCAGCCAUGGCGCGGUGAAUACGUUCCCGGGCCUUGUACACACCGCCCGUCAAGCCAUGGGAGCCGGGGGCGCCUGAAGUCCGGGACCGCGAGGACCGGCCUAGGGCGAAACUGGUAACUGGGGCUAAGUCGUAACAAGGUAGC
This 201-nucleotide ribosomal RNA is filed under the name uncultured bacterium. RNAcentral's name for it is "partial 16S ribosomal RNA". It matches the Rfam family "Bacterial small subunit ribosomal RNA", at positions 1292 to 1500 of the family's 1533-position model. The record is from RNAcentral.